ACAAGCGGAGGAGCAUGUGGUUAAUUCGAUGAUACGCGAGGAACCUUACCUGGGCUCGAACGUAAGAUGACUGUAGGUGAAAGCUUACAUCUCUUCGGAGCAUUUUACGAGGUGCUGCAUGGUUGUCGUCAGCUCGUGCCGUGAGGUGUCGGGUUAAGUCCCAUAACGAGCGCAACCCCUACCUUAGUUGCCAUCAGGUUAAGCUGGGGACUCUAAAGGAACUGCCUACGCAAGUAGUGAGGAAGGCGGGGAUGACGUCAAAUCAGCACGGCCCUUACGUCCAGGGCUACACACGUGCUACAAUGGCCGAUACAGUGGGCAGCUACCUGGUGACAGGAUGCAAAUCUCCAAAGUCGGUCUCAGUUCGGAUCGGAGUCUGCAACCCGACUCCGUGAAGUUGGAUUCGCUAGUAAUCGCGCAUCAGCCAUGGCGCGGUGAAUACGUUCCCGGGCCUU
This 455-nucleotide ribosomal RNA is filed under the name uncultured Sphingobacteriales bacterium. Its description in RNAcentral is "bacterial SSU rRNA". It matches the Rfam family "Bacterial small subunit ribosomal RNA", at positions 925 to 1382 of the family's 1533-position model. Lineage: Bacteria; Pseudomonadati; Bacteroidota; Sphingobacteriia; Sphingobacteriales. The record is from RNAcentral.